Molecule: ribosomal RNA, 672 nt
Filed under: uncultured Thiobacillus sp.
Lineage: Bacteria; Pseudomonadati; Pseudomonadota; Betaproteobacteria; Nitrosomonadales; Thiobacillaceae
Description: bacterial SSU rRNA
Rfam family: Bacterial small subunit ribosomal RNA
Source: RNAcentral
UGGGGUAAAGGCCUACCAAGGCGACGAUCAGUAGCGGGUCUGAGAGGAUGAUCCGCCACACUGGAACUGAGACACGGUCCAGACUCCUACGGGAGGCAGCAGUGGGGAAUUUUGGACAAUGGGGGCAACCCUGAUCCAGCCAUUCCGCGUGAGUGAAGAAGGCCUUCGGGUUGUAAAGCUCUUUCAGCUGGAACGAAACGGUACGCUCUAACAUAGCGUGCUAAUGACGGUACCAGCAGAAGAAGCACCGGCUAACUACGUGCCAGCAGCCGCGGUAAUACGUAGGGUGCGAGCGUUAAUCGGAAUUACUGGGCGUAAAGCGUGCGCAGGCGGAUUGUUAAGCAAGACGUGAAAUCCCCGGGCUUAACCUGGGAAUGGCGUUUUGAACUGGCAGUCUAGAGUGUGUCAGAGGGGGGUAGAAUUCCACGUGUAGCAGUGAAAUGCGUAGAGAUGUGGAGGAAUACCAAUGGCGAAGGCAGCCCCCUGGGAUAACACUGACGCUCAUGUACGAAAGCGUGGGUAGCAAACAGGAUUAGAUACCCUGGUAGUCCACGCCCUAAACGAUGUCAACUGGUUGUUGGGGGAGUGAAAUCCCUUAGUAACGAAGCUAACGCGUGAAGUUGACCGCCUGGGGAGUACGGUCGCAAGAUUAAAACUUAAAGGAAUUGACGG